UACGUAUGGUGCAAGCGUUAUCCGGAUUUACUGGGUGUAAAGGGAGCGCAGGCGGUACGGCAAGCCUGAUGUGAAAGCCCGCGGCCCAACCGCGGGACUGCAUUGGGAACUACCGGGCUGGAGUGCCGGAGAGGUAGGCGGAAUUCCUAGUGUAGCGGUGAAAUGCGUAGAUAUUAGGAGGAACACCAGUGGCGGAGGCGGCCUACUGGACGGUGACUGACGCUGAGGCUCGAAAGCGUGGGGAGCAAACAGG
This 253-nucleotide ribosomal RNA is filed under the name uncultured bacterium. RNAcentral's name for it is "partial 16S ribosomal RNA". It matches the Rfam family "Bacterial small subunit ribosomal RNA", at positions 524 to 776 of the family's 1533-position model. The record is from RNAcentral.